This 624-nucleotide ribosomal RNA is filed under the name Listeria monocytogenes. RNAcentral describes it as "bacterial SSU rRNA". It matches the Rfam family "Bacterial small subunit ribosomal RNA", at positions 169 to 779 of the family's 1533-position model. Lineage: Bacteria; Bacillati; Bacillota; Bacilli; Caryophanales; Listeriaceae. The record is from RNAcentral.
CCGAAUGAUAGAAUGUGGCGCAUGCCACGCUUUUGAAAGAUGGUUUCGGCUAUCGCUUACAGAUGGGCCCGCGGUGCAUUAGCUAGUUGGUAGGGUAAUGGCCUACCAAGGCAACGAUGCAUAGCCGACCUGAGAGGGUGAUCGGCCACACUGGGACUGAGACACGGCCCAGACUCCUACGGGAGGCAGCAGUAGGGAAUCUUCCGCAAUGGACGAAAGUCUGACGGAGCAACGCCGCGUGUAUGAAGAAGGUUUUCGGAUCGUAAAGUACUGUUGUUAGAGAAGAACAAGGAUAAGAGUAACUGCUUGUCCCUUGACGGUAUCUAACCAGAAAGCCACGGCUAACUACGUGCCAGCAGCCGCGGUAAUACGUAGGUGGCAAGCGUUGUCCGGAUUUAUUGGGCGUAAAGCGCGCGCAGGCGGUCUUUUAAGUCUGAUGUGAAAGCCCCCGGCUUAACCGGGGAGGGUCAUUGGAAACUGGAAGACUGGAGUGCAGAAGAGGAGAGUGGAAUUCCACGUGUAGCGGUGAAAUGCGUAGAUAUGUGGAGGAACACCAGUGGCGAAGGCGACUCUCUGGUCUGUAACUGACGCUGAGGCGCGAAAGCGUGGGGAGCAAACAGGAUU